Molecule: signal recognition particle RNA, 299 nt
Filed under: Cebus imitator (Panamanian white-faced capuchin)
Lineage: Eukaryota; Metazoa; Chordata; Mammalia; Primates; Cebidae
Description: Metazoan signal recognition particle RNA (ENSCCAG00000009384.1)
Rfam family: Metazoan signal recognition particle RNA
About the family: The signal recognition particle (SRP) is a universally conserved ribonucleoprotein.
Source: RNAcentral
GCUGGGAUUGGUGGUGCUUGCCUGUAGUCCCAGCUAUUCAGGAGGCUGAGACUGGAGGAUCUCUUGAGUCCAGGAGUUCUGGGCUGUAGUGCGCUAUGCCAACCGGGUGUCCGCACUAAGUUCGGCAUCAAUAUGGUGACCUCGCGGGAGCGGGGGACCACCAGGUUGCCUAAGGAGGGGUGAACCCACCCAGGUCGGAAAUGGAGCUGGUCAAAACUCCCAUGCUGAUCAGUAGUGGGAUUGCGUCUGUGAAUAGCCACUGCACUCCAGCCUGGGCAACACAGUGAGACCCCGUCUCU